CCUACGGGUGGCUGCAGUGGGGAAUCUUGCACAAUGGGGGAAACCCUGAUGCAGCGACGCCGCGUGAACGAUGAAGCCCUUCGGGGUGUAAAGUUCUUUCGGCAGGGACGAUAAUGACGGUACCUGCAGAAGCAGCUGCGGCUAACUACGUGCCAGCAGCCGCGGUAAUACGUAGGCAGCAAGCGUUGUUCGGAAUUACUGGGCGUAAAGAGUGCGUAGGCGGUUGGCUAAGUUUGGUGUGAAAUCUCCCGGCUCAACUGGGAGGGUGCGCCGAAAACUGGCUGGCUAGAGUGCGGGAGAGGAUAGUGGAAUUCCUGGUGUAGCGGUGAAAUGCGUAGAUAUCAGGAGGAACACCUGAGGUGUAGACGGCUAUCUGGACCGUAACUGACGCUGAGGCACGAAAGCGUGGGGAGCAAACAGGAUUAGAUACCCGAGUAGUC
This 440-nucleotide ribosomal RNA is filed under the name uncultured bacterium. Its description in RNAcentral is "partial 16S ribosomal RNA". It matches the Rfam family "Bacterial small subunit ribosomal RNA", at positions 338 to 795 of the family's 1533-position model. The record is from RNAcentral.